This 836-nucleotide ribosomal RNA is filed under the name uncultured bacterium. RNAcentral describes it as "bacterial SSU rRNA". It matches the Rfam family "Bacterial small subunit ribosomal RNA", at positions 651 to 1486 of the family's 1533-position model. The record is from RNAcentral.
GGUAGGGAGAAGGGAAUUCCUGGNNUAGCGNUGGAAUGNGCAGAUAUCAGGAGGAACACCGAUGGCGAAGGCACAUCUCUGGNCCGUAACUGACGCUGAGGAGCGAAAGCGUGGGGAGCGAACAGGAUUAGAUACCCUGGUAGUCCACGCCGUAAACGGUGGGUGCUAGUUGUGGGCCACAUUCCACGUGGUCCGUGACGCAGCUAACGCAUUAAGCACCCCGCCUGGGGAGUACGGUCGCAAGACUAAAACUCAAAGGAAUUGACGGGGGCCCGCACAAGCGGCGGAGCAUGCGGCUUAAUUCGACGCAACGCGAAGAACCUUACCAAGGCUUGACAUAUAGAGGAAACGUGCAGAAAUGUACGCCCCGCAAGGUCUCUAUACAGGUGGUGCAUGGUUGUCGUCAGCUCGUGUCGUGAGAUGUUGGGUUAAGUCCCGCAACGAGCGCAACCCUCGUCCUAUGUUGCCAGCACGUAAUGGUGGGAACUCAUGGGAGACUGCCGGGGUCAACUCGGAGGAAGGUGGGGAUGACGUCAAAUCAUCAUGCCCCUUAUGUCUUGGGCUUCACGCAUGCUACAAUGGCCGGUACAGAGGGCUGCAAUACCGCAAGGUGGAGCGAAUCCCAAAAAGCCGGUCUCAGUUCGGAUUGGGGUCUGCAACUCGACCCCAUGAAGUCGGAGUCGCUAGUAAUCGCAGAUCAGCAACGCUGCGGUGAAUACGUUCCCGGGCCUUGUACACACCGCCCGUCAAGUCACGAAAGUCGGUAACACCCGAAGCCGGUGGCCUAACCGUAAGGAAGGAGCCGUCGAAGGUGGGACUGGUGAUUGGGACUAAGU